This 485-nucleotide ribosomal RNA is filed under the name uncultured bacterium. Its description in RNAcentral is "partial 16S ribosomal RNA". It matches the Rfam family "Bacterial small subunit ribosomal RNA", at positions 29 to 523 of the family's 1533-position model. The record is from RNAcentral.
AGUGAACGCUGGCGGCGUGCUUAACACAUGCAAGUCGAACGAGAACGGAAUAUAGCUUGCUAUAUUUGUCAGCUAAGUGGCGCACGGGUGAGUAAUGUACAGAUAACCUGCCCUUAAGAAAGGAAUAACAGUUGGAAACGACUGCUAAUGCCCUAUAUGCCUUUAAUACAUAAGUAUGCAAGGGAAACGCUUUAGUGCUUAAGGAUGGGUCUGUACGGUAUCAGCUUGUUGGUGAGGUAAUGGCUCACCAAGGCUAUGACGCCUAACUGGUUUGGGAGGGUGAUCAGUCACACUGGAACUGAGACACGGUCCAGACUCCUACGGGAGGCAGCAGUGGGGAAUAUUGCACAAUGGACGAAAGUCUGAUGCAGCAACGCCGCGUGGAGGAUGACACAUUUCGGUGCGUAAACUCCUUUUAUAUAGGAAGAUAAUGACGGUACUAUAUGAAUAAGCACCGGCUAACUCCGUGCCAGCCGCCGCCGUAA